RNAcentral lists this transfer RNA (101 nucleotides) under Planotetraspora silvatica. RNAcentral's name for it is "tRNA-Pro". The record is from RNAcentral. Lineage: Bacteria; Bacillati; Actinomycetota; Actinomycetes; Streptosporangiales; Streptosporangiaceae.
GGCGGAGCGUAGCCGGAGGUGUCGGGCAGCGGCGUCUGGGAGGUGUCGGUCUGCGCGAAGUCGAAGGCGCUCGUGAGGUCGCCGCAGACGGCCCGCCGCCA